CCUACGGGUGGCAGCAGUGGGGAAUAUUGCACAAUGGGGGAAACCCUGAUGCAGCGACGCCGCGUGAGUGAAGAAGUAAUUCGUUAUGUAAAGCUCUAUCAGCAGGGAAGAAAAUGACGGUACCUGAGUACGAAGCCCCGGCUAACUCCGGGCCAGCAGCCGCGGUAAUACGUAGGGGGCAAGCGUGAUCCGGAUUUACUGGGUGUAAAGGGAGCGUAGACGGCAGUGCAAGUCUGGAGUGAAAGGCGGGGGCUCAACCCCCGGACUGCUCUGGAAACUGUACGGCUGGAGUGCGGGAGAGGUAAGUGGAAUUCGUAGUGUAGCGGUGAAAUGCGUAGAUAUUAGGAGGAACACCAGUGGCGAAGGCGGCUUGCUGGACUGUAACUGACGUUGAGGCUCGAAAGCGUGGGGAGCAAACAGGAUUAGAUACCCGGGUAGUC
RNAcentral lists this ribosomal RNA (440 nucleotides) under uncultured bacterium. RNAcentral describes it as "partial 16S ribosomal RNA". It matches the Rfam family "Bacterial small subunit ribosomal RNA", at positions 338 to 795 of the family's 1533-position model. The record is from RNAcentral.